RNAcentral lists this ribosomal RNA (485 nucleotides) under uncultured bacterium. Its description in RNAcentral is "bacterial SSU rRNA". It matches the Rfam family "Bacterial small subunit ribosomal RNA", at positions 30 to 506 of the family's 1533-position model. The record is from RNAcentral.
AUUGAACGCUGGCGGAAUGCUUUACACAUGCAAGUCGAGCGGUAGGGACUUCGGUCCUGAGAGCGGCGAACGGGUGAGUAAUGCAUCGGAAUGUAUCCUGUAGUGGGGAACAACCUAGCGAAAGUUAGGCUAAUACCGCAUACGCCCUGAGGGGGAAAGCGGGGGACCUGUGAGGGCCUCGCGCUAUUGGAGCAGCCGAUGUCAGAUUAGCUAGUUGGUGAGGUAAAAGGCUCACCAAGGCGACGAUCUGUAGCGGGUCUGAGAGGAUGAUCCGCCACACUGGGACUGAGACACGGCCCAGACUCCUACGGGAGGCAGCAGUGGGGAAUUUUGGACAAUGGGGGCAACCCUGAUCCAGCCAUGCCGCGUGAGUGAAGAAGGCCUUCGGGUUGUAAAGGCUCUUUCGGUCCGGGAACGGAAAUACGCACAGGCUAAUAAAGAGUGAGGUUGACGGUACCUUGAUAAGAAGCACCGGCUAACUACGU